RNAcentral lists this ribosomal RNA (201 nucleotides) under uncultured bacterium. RNAcentral's name for it is "partial 16S ribosomal RNA". It matches the Rfam family "Bacterial small subunit ribosomal RNA", at positions 326 to 539 of the family's 1533-position model. The record is from RNAcentral.
ACGCUCGACACCUACGGGAAGCAGCAGUGGGGAAUAUUGGGCAAUGGGCGAAAGCCUGACCCAGCAACGCCGCGUGAGGGAAGAAGGUUUUCGGAUUGUAAACCUCUGUCCUCAGGGACGAAGGACGUGACGGUACCUGAGGAGGAAGCCCCGGCUAACUACGUGCCAGCAGCCGCGGUAAUCUGAGCGGGCUGGCAAGGC